RNAcentral lists this ribosomal RNA (511 nucleotides) under uncultured Glomeraceae. Its description in RNAcentral is "SSU rRNA". It matches the Rfam family "Eukaryotic small subunit ribosomal RNA", at positions 569 to 1082 of the family's 1831-position model. Lineage: Eukaryota; Fungi; Glomeromycota; Glomeromycetes; Glomerales; Glomeraceae. The record is from RNAcentral.
AGCAGCCGCGGUAAUUCCAGCUCCAAUAGCGUAUAUUAAAGUUGCUGCAGUUAAAAAGCUCGUAGUUGAAUUUCGGGACCAAUAUGUCGGUCGUGCCUCGGUACGUACUGGCAUCGUUGGUUUCUCCCUUCUGACGAACCAUGAUGUCAUUUAUUUGGUGUCGUGGGGAAUCAGGACUAGUUACUUUGAAAAAUUAGAGUGUUUAAAGCAGGCUCACGCUUGAAUACAUUAGCAUGGAAUAAUCGAAAUUAGGACGUUUUGAUUCUAUUUUGUUGGUUUCUAGGAUCGACGUAAUGGAUUAAUAGGGAUAGUUGGGGGCAUUAGUAUUCAAUUGUCAGAGGUGAAAUUCUUGGAUUUAUUGAAGACUAACUACUGCGAAAGCAUUUGCCAAGGAUGUUUUCAUUAAUCAAGACGAAAGUUAGGGGAUCGAAGACGAUCAGAUAUCGUCGUAGUCUUAACCAUAAACUAUGCCGACUAGGAUCGGAUGAUGUUUAAUUUUUAAGUGUACUCA